Artibeus jamaicensis (Jamaican fruit-eating bat) is the source of this 107-nucleotide small nuclear RNA. NCBI's taxonomy places the organism in Eukaryota, Metazoa, Chordata, Mammalia, Chiroptera, Phyllostomidae. The record is from RefSeq and is a predicted model, not a curated record.
GUGCCUGCUUCAGUAGCACAUUUACUAAAAUUGGGAUGACACGGAGAAGAUUAUUAUGGCCCUUGCACAAGGAUGACAUGCAGAUUUGUGAAGCAUUUCAUAUUUUU